This 465-nucleotide ribosomal RNA is filed under the name uncultured bacterium. RNAcentral's name for it is "partial 16S ribosomal RNA". It matches the Rfam family "Bacterial small subunit ribosomal RNA", at positions 338 to 795 of the family's 1533-position model. The record is from RNAcentral.
CCUACGGGUGGCAGCAGUAGGGAAUCUUCCACAAUGGGCGAAAGCCUGAUGGAGCAACGCCGCGUGGGUGAAGAAGGUCUUCGGAUCGUAAAACUCUGUUGUUAGAGAAGAAAGUGCGUGAGAGUAACUGUUCACGCUUCGACGGUAUCCAACCAGAAAGUCACGGCUAACUACGUGCCAGCAGCCGCGGUAAUACGUAGGUGGCAAGCGUUAUCCGGAUUUAUUGGGCGUAAAGGGAACGCAGGCGGUUUCUUAAGUCUGAUGUGAAAGCCUUCGGCUUAACCGGAGAAGUGCAUUGGAAACUGGGAGACUUGAUUGCAGAAGAGGACAGUGGAACUCCAUGUGUAGCGGUGAAAUGCGUAGAUAUAUGGAAGAACACCAGUGGCGAAGGCGGCUCUCUGGUCUGUAACUGACGCUGAGGUUCGAAAGCGUGGGUAGCAAACAGGAUUAGAUACCCCUGUAGUC